AGCUCCAAUAGCGUAUAUUAAAGUUGUUGCGGUUAAAAAGCUCGUAGUUGGAUUUCUGCUGAGGACGACCGGUCCGCCCUCUGGGUGAGCAUCUGGCUCGGCCUUGGCAUCUUCUUGGGGAACGUUACUGCACUUGAUUGUGUGGUGCGGUAUCCAAGACUUUUACUUUGAGGAAAUUAGAGUGUUUCAAGCAGGCGCACGCCUUGAAUACAUUAGCAUGGAAUAAUAAGAUAGGACGUUGGUUCUAUUUUGUUGGUUUCUAAAGCUGACGUAAUGAUUAAUAGGGAUAGUUGGGGGCAUUCGUAUUUAACUGUCAGAGGUGAAAUUCUUGGAUUUGUUAAAGACGGACUACUGCGAACGCAUUUGCCAAGGAUGUUUUCAUUG
This 384-nucleotide ribosomal RNA is filed under the name Gymnodinium sp. RNAcentral describes it as "SSU rRNA". It matches the Rfam family "Eukaryotic small subunit ribosomal RNA", at positions 587 to 975 of the family's 1831-position model. Lineage: Eukaryota; Dinophyceae; Gymnodiniales; Gymnodiniaceae. The record is from RNAcentral.